RNAcentral lists this long non-coding RNA (3436 nucleotides) under Sus scrofa (pig). RNAcentral describes it as "lncRNA (ENSSSCG00035062925.1, ENSSSCG00050032518.1)". The record is from RNAcentral. Lineage: Eukaryota; Metazoa; Chordata; Mammalia; Artiodactyla; Suidae.
AGUGAUUAAUUUUUCAAAAUCGUCAAUCAUUGCUCUCAGGAUAGCAUCAUGAGUGUCCAAUUGCGGUGUGCCUUCUUUUCAAAGCCUGCGUUUGACAAUGUAGCAUGUAAACAUGUAGUUUAAGGCAAAUUCAUAGUUUGCAUAGAUGAUGGGUGUUUUGUUGAAAUCUCAGUUGUAGGGACAGAAGGGAAAGCUAAGCAUUUAGGCAGAAAGGAAUUUCUUUAGACUUGUCAAAAGGAAAAAUAAGUCACUCAAAAUAUUACCAGUUUUGAUUUUUUUCUCCCAGCAAAUUCUAAUAUGAGAGACUAUAUGAAAAUCAGUAAGUUCAACAAAGACCUUGGGAUGCUUACUAAAUACAAAAUAACUGUUGAUCUGGUGGAUAAAACACUGAAAUAACUAUAAUAAUUAACCUUUGGUACUGAGAAGUUACUACAAUAAUUACUUGUUUGGAUAAGAAACUAGCCCAAAUAAUUGAGAAAUGCCAAAAAGCAGCGGCUACUUAUUCAAAAUAAUUACAUUUACAUAAAGAAAUCCGUGAAGGAGAAAUUAAAAUUAAUGCUUCCAGAAUAAGCAAAAUACACUGUGUCAAUUUCCAACAGCCCCAAUCUGUCUAUGUGCUACUGAUGGAGGUGUCAGAAUUCUGGGCAAGUAUUCACAAAGUUCAAAAGUGUCAUAACACUGAAGCAAUGUAGUUAUAAGAGAAGAAAAUGUGUAUAGAUGGAAUCAUGGAAAUGUCACUCACUGUAAUAUGUGAGCAGGAGGUUGCAAUCAAAGCAGUUAGCAAUUAGAAAGUACAAGGCCCCAACUCCCACAGAAUUUUUGGUACAAGCAGCUCUGACAGCACACAGAACUGCUAUAAGAUAACUUUGUGAGAAAGCUUUGUCAGUGGUAAUGCCUGCCUUAGUGACAUCUGGAAACAGCUGUUUGUCUCCAAAAGACAGCAAUAUGUUGAAGCCUGCCAAACACAGAUAAUAAGGUGCUUACCUAUCAUUAACAAAAUUAUGCUUUCCUUAUUGACAGAAAAGAUCUGUUCACAUUGUGGGAAGAGUACAUUACAGAACUAGUGAAAAGCUAUUGAAAAGUAUCAUACGGAUGGUUGCAAAGCUGUGAUUCCCAGCCCUAAAUUUGCCGCCCUCUAGGGUGUCUACAAUUAUCCUGAGGAUCAUCAUGAGCCUUUUGAAAAUGUCUCAAAACAAAAUUAAAUAUGAGGCACUUUAAUUUUUAAAAAAUUAUAUGCCACACAGCAUUUUCAGGAAAAGGGGAAGAUGGCAUAAAAUCAAGCUGACAAUAGCAAUGUGCUAUAAACUCCCAUGAGGUUGGGAGCCAGUGAUGGUAAGACGGGCAUAUUAUAUAGAUUCAGUGGUAGUUUUUAUGAAUUCAGAACGUUGUACCAAGACACAUCAUCAAAACAGCUAUGGGCAAAUGCAUGAGUUUUCUAUGUAUUUCAAAAGUGGGCAUUCACAUAAAUAGUAAUUUGUAAAUUCUGUCGUCAAGUUUUGGAAAUUUUUUUUACUUAAGAGUUUCCUAAAUGUCUAAAAACAUAUUUCAAUACUAGCAACAAAAUCAUUCAUUCAUUAAAGACAUGUUUAUUUUAGUUUAUUUAUUUAUUUAUUGCUUUGUAGAGCUGCACCUGUGGCAUAUGGAAGUUCCCAGCCUAGGGGUUGAAUCAGAGCUGCAGCCGCUGGCCUAUGCCACAGCCACAGCAAUGCAGGAUCUGAGCCGUGUCUGCAACCCACACCACAGCUCACAGCCAGAUACUUAACCCACUGAGUGAGGCCAGGGAUCGAACCUGCAUCCUCAUGGAUACCAGUCGGGUUCGUUACCACUAAGUCACAACAGGAACUCCUAAAGACACAUUUAUUGAAAACAUGCUGUACACCAGGUGCUGAUACACACAUUGCCUGAUAGGAAGUUUGUAUCAGCCAUGUAUAGGAGUGCCUGUUUUCCUGAGCUUUGCUGAUAGCAUAUUAGAAAAUAUCUUUAGCAAUAUAUUAGUGAAAAGUUGUAUCUUAUUGUAAUUUGCCAUUUCUUUGAAUAUUAGUGAGAUUGGACAUUUUUCCUAUGACUGUAUGGUCAUUUGACCUUUUGAAUAAUCUGCUCACACCCUAUAUCAACUUUUCUACUGGCCUUUUUAUCAUUGAUUUUUUUUUUUUUUUUGUCUUUUUGCUAUUUCUUUGGGCCGCUCCCGCGGCAUAUGGAGUUUCCCAGGCUAGGGGUCGAAUCGGAGCUGUAGCCACUGGCCUACGCCAGAGCCACAGCAACGCGGGAUCCAAGCCACGUCUGCAACCUACACCACAGCUCAUGGCAACACCGGAUCAUUAACCCACUGAGCAAGGGCAGGGACCGAACCUGCAACCUCAUGGUUCCUAGUCGGAUUCGUUAACCACUGCACCACAACGAGAACACCUAUUAUUGAUUUUUAAAGGCUCUUUACAUAUUACCAUGCCAUCGACCUGACCUUACCAUCUUUGAGUAAGAGCUUCUAGAAUCCGCCACAUUUGCUCACUGUCAGAGCUGAAGUCAGCUAACAUCAAAUAUUUUUAUAAGGUCUAUGAGUAUCCAAGAAUCAUUGUGAUUCUAUUCAGUUCUCCUGUUUCUGCAUUAAAUCUAAUUUUAUUUUAUUUUAUUAAGUUUAAUUUUAUUUUUUAAUUAUUUCCCCAAUACAAUUUUUUUUCUACUGUACAGCAUGGUGACCCAGUUACACAUACAUGUAGGCAUUCUGUUUUUGCACAUUAUCAUGCUCCAUCAUAAGUGACUAGACAUAGUUCCCACUGCUACACAGCAGGAUCUCAUUGCUAAUCCAUUCCAAAGGCAAUAGUUUGCAUCCAUUAAGCCCAAGCUCCCAAUCCAUCCCACUCCCUUCCCCUCCCCCUUGGCAACCACAAGUCUAUUCUCCAAGUCCAUGUUAAAUCUAAUUUUAUUGAUUUAAAACAGAAACAGAACAUCGCAAAAAGCUAAAAGAUGUUACUAUAGUUGCCACCAUCAACUUCCUCAUUCUUGAAGUAGCCAUUAAUAGUAGAAUCUUUGGACUAUUUCAACAUUUUUUUAGUACUCUGCAUAUUUAGAAAGGACUUCACUGCCAUCUAAGGCACACUCUCUCACCCUGCUUUUAAAAAAUCUUAGCAGGCACACACAAUUAGGUCCUGGAGAUUUGCAGAUCUGAGAGUGAUACUGACCUUUUCACCAGAAAUGGCAGAAGCUAAUUUGGGGCAGUACCAGCACUGCUCAGUAACUUGAGCCAUCAUCCUCGAUGAUAGAUACAUAUUAAAAUUUCCAUAGAACUCUUUUCUCUCUGUGAUUUAGAGUCAAUAAACAUUUGCUGAGUCUUAAUAGGUGCCAGGUGCUUUUACAUAUCAUCUUUCUUCCAGUCCUCACCAUCUAUCUCUUCUAUCGGCGUCCUCAUUUUCCUAUGAGGAAAUUGUAAAUCAGAGAGGUU